AGAGUUUGAUCCUGGCUCAGGAUGAACGCUAGCGGCAGGCUUAACACAUGCAAGUUGAACGGUAUCUGAUAGCAAUAUCAGAGAGAGCAGCGCACGGGUGCGUAACGCGUAUGCAACCUACCUUUAACUGGAGGAUAGCCCCGAGAAAUCGGGAUUAAUACUUCAUAAAAUAUCUAGAAGGCAUCUGAAAGAUAUUAAAGCUCCGGCGGUUAAAGAUGGGCAUGCGUAACAUUAGCUAGAUGGUAAGGUAACGGCUUACCAUGGCAACGAUGUUUAGGGGUUCUGAGAGGAUUAUCCCCCACACUGGUACUGAGACACGGACCAGACUCCUACGGGAGGCAGCAGUGAGGAAUAUUGGGCAAUGGAGGCAACUCUGACCCAGCCAUGCCGCGUGCAGGAAGACGGCCCUAUGGGUUGUAAACUGCUUUUAUACAGGAAGAAACCCUUGGACGUGUCCAAGGCUGACGGUAGUAAAUGAAUAAGCACCGGCUAACUCCGUGCCAGCAGCCGCGGUAAUACGGAGGGUGCAAGCGUUAUCCGGAAUCAUUGGGUUUAAAGGGUGCGUAGGCGGGCUUGUAAGUCAGAGGUGAAAUCCUUCAGCUCAACUGUGGAACUGCCUUUGAUACUGGUUGUCUUCUUGAGUAUAGAUGAAGUGGGCGGAAUGUGUCAUGUAGCGGUGAAAUGCAUAGAUAUUACAUGGAACACCGAUUGCGAAGGCAGCUCACUAAACUAUUACUGACGCUCAGGGACGAAAGCGUGGGGAGCGAACAGGAUUAGAUACCCUGGUAGUCCACGCCGUAAACGAUGAUUACUCGGUGCUAGCGACAUACUGUUAGUGCCUAAGCGAAAGCGAUAAGUAAUCCACCUGGGGAGUACGGUCGCAAGAUUGAAACUCAAAGGAAUUGACGGGGGCCCGCACAAGCGGUGGAGCAUGUGGUUUAAUUCGAUGAUACGCGAGGAACCUUACCUGGGCUUAAAUGUAGAUUGCAUAUCUUAGAGAUAGGAUUUUCCUUCGGGACUAUCUACAAGGUGCUGCAUGGUUGUCGUCAGCUCGUGCCGUGAGGUGUCGGGUUAAGUCCCAUAACGAGCGCAACCCCUAUCGUUAGUUGCUAGCAGGUAAUGCUGAGGACUCUAGCGAGACUGCCACCGUAAGGUGCGAGGAAGGUGGGGAUGACGUCAAAUCAGCACGGCCCUUAUGUCCAGGGCUACACACGUGUUACAAUGGCAGGGACAAAGGGCAGCUACUUGGCAACAAGAUGCUAAUCUCUAAAGCCUGUCCCAGUUCGGAUUGGAGUCUGCAACCCGACUCCAUGAAGUUGGAUUCGCUAGUAAUCGGAUAUCAGCCAUGAUCCGGUGAAUACGUUCCCGGGCCUUGUACACACCGCCCGUCAAACCAUGGAAGCUGGGGGUGCCUGAAGUCUGUAGCCGAAAGGAGCGGCCUAGGGUAAAACUAGUAACUCUGGGGCUAAGUCGUAACAAGGUAACC
Molecule: ribosomal RNA, 1486 nt
Filed under: uncultured prokaryote
Description: partial 16S ribosomal RNA
Rfam family: Bacterial small subunit ribosomal RNA
Source: RNAcentral